Molecule: ribosomal RNA, 341 nt
Filed under: uncultured bacterium
Lineage: Bacteria
Description: bacterial SSU rRNA
Rfam family: Bacterial small subunit ribosomal RNA
Source: RNAcentral
AUACCGUCCUGGAGGGAAGAAGGCGGGGACCGUAAGGCCUCGCGCGAUUGGAGCGGCCGAUGUCGGAUUAGCUAGUUGGUAGGGUAAAGGCCUACCAAGGCGACGAUCCGUAGCGGGUCUGAGAGGAUGAUCCGCCACACUGGGACUGAGACACGGCCCAGACUCCUACGGGAGGCAGCAGUGGGGAAUUUUGGACAAUGGGCGAAAGCCUGAUCCAGCCAUGCCGCGUGAGUGAAGAAGGCCUUCGGGUUGUAAAGCUCUUUCGGCUGGGAAGAAAUCGCACAGGCUAAUACUCUGUGUGGAUGACGGUACCAGCACAAGAAGCACCGGCUAACUACGUG